AGUGAACGCUGGCGGUAGGCCUAACACAUGCAAGUCGAACGGCAGCACAGUAAGAGCUUGCUCUUACGGGUGGCGAGUGGCGGACGGGUGAGGAAUACAUCGGAAUCUACUUUUUCGUGGGGGAUAACGUAGGGAAACUUACGCUAAUACCGCAUACGACCUACGGGUGAAAGCAGGGGAUCUUCGGACCUUGCGCGAUUGAAUGAGCCGAUGUCGGAUUAGCUAGUUGGCGGGGUAAAGGCCCACCAAGCGACGAUCCGUAGCUGGUCUGAGAGGAUGAUCAGCCACACUGGAACUGAGACACGGUCCAGACUCCUACGGGAGGCAGCAGUGGGGAAUAUUGGACAAUGGGCGCAAGCCUGAUCCAGCCAUACCGCGUGGGUGAAGAAGGCCUUCGGGUUGUAAAGCCCUUUUGUUGGGAAAGAAAAGCAGCAGGUUAAUACCCCGCUGUUCUGACGGUACCCAAAGAAUAAGCACCGGCUAACUUCGUG
RNAcentral lists this ribosomal RNA (491 nucleotides) under uncultured bacterium. Its description in RNAcentral is "partial 16S ribosomal RNA". It matches the Rfam family "Bacterial small subunit ribosomal RNA", at positions 29 to 507 of the family's 1533-position model. The record is from RNAcentral.